GACAGAGGGUGCAAACGUUGUUCGGAAUUACUGGGCGUAAAGCGCGUGUAGGCGGCAGGGCAUGUCGGAUGUGAAAUCCCGUGGCUCAACCACGGAAGUGCACCCGAAACUGCCCAGCUUGAGUCUCGGAGAGGAAGGCGGAAUGCUUGGUGUAGAGGUGAAAUUCGUAGAUAUCAAGCGGAACACCGGUGGCGAAGGCGGCCUUCUGGACAGUGACUGACGCUGAGACACGAAAGCGUGGGGAGCAAACAGG
This 253-nucleotide ribosomal RNA is filed under the name uncultured bacterium. RNAcentral's name for it is "partial 16S ribosomal RNA". It matches the Rfam family "Bacterial small subunit ribosomal RNA", at positions 524 to 776 of the family's 1533-position model. The record is from RNAcentral.